Misgurnus anguillicaudatus (oriental weatherfish) is the source of this 1340-nucleotide non-coding RNA. The record is from RefSeq and is a predicted model, not a curated record. Lineage: Eukaryota; Metazoa; Chordata; Actinopteri; Cypriniformes; Cobitidae.
UAUUUAUUCUUACACUGUAAAAUGUAAUAGCUGAGCUUACUAAAAAGAUUAAGUAAACUUAACUUAUUUAAUUAAGUUUGUUAACCUUACUUAGUUUAACUAAGUAAUCCCAACUUUUUUCUAUGCAAACUCAAGUCAACUUGAUUAAACUUAACAGAUUAAUUUAGCUCAACUUAAAAUUUCAAGUAUUUUCAAAAAGGAUGACUGCACAGUAGGUGGCAGUAAUGCUCCCAAGGAGUAAGUGGUGGCUUAACUGAGUGGUUAACUGAAGAAGACGACAACAGCACAUGGUCGGAUAAGAGCAUGAGGAGCAGGAGCUUGUUUCUUUGAAGAGAGCGCAUACCCUUCAUGGAAAGUCAGUAACGUUACUGUGGAGUACAACCAAGUCGCAAGCAAAAACCUCAAGCAAGAAUUGUUCUCAUCCCUUGCUAAACAUUUUUGAGUAUCUAAUAAACAUCACUGAUGUCACUGCACGGUGGACAGUAGUUCUCGGUGGUCUUGCUAUCCUUCUCGCGGAAGACACUACAGACUUCCUGAAAACAAACAUGGACUGUGAUGGUGACCCACCUCAACUAUCAAUAGGAAUUCUCAGUCUGGUGCCGGAGGACAGACACAUUUCUCCACAUGGUUUACAGCAAUUAUUUGGUAGGGUGUCACAGCCAUGGAUGGACUUGAGAAAGUAUCACAUGCCAUGUGUUUUGUUUUUGGACUGAUCGUUGUUUUAAAUAUGGAGUACCUCUUCACAGCUUAUUUUGAGUUGAUUCACAGGGUUUUUCUUUCCCUGGGGCACAAAUCACUAAAGUCAAAACUGCCAUCACUACAAAACAUACUAAUGUGAAGUAGUGUGUUUUGUGUGAAACAAGUCCGUGUUACUGUAGAUCUGUUGCAUUUUGGGGUUUUUAUUUUUCGUCAACCUGGAUACAAGUUCCAGAAAAACUCAACUUUAAUUGCUGCAAAACUUUGAUGUUUUAGUUAAGCUGUAUUUUGCGUGUUUCUGAUGGCAGAAACAAGAUUGUUACUGUAGGUCUGUUGAUGCAAUUUGUGAUUUUUUAUCAGUCACAUGACAACCUGGAUACAAAACCAAAACUGCAGUCACUAAAAAAAAACUAGUUUUGAAUUUGUUUGUCAAGGUGUGUUCAUUGUGUUUGUAAUAACAGAAACAAGACUGUCUUAGGUCUAUUGUUGCAUUUUGGGUAUCCAGAUUGAUGGGUGACUGAACACAAACCCCUUUCGUGUGUGUGUGUGUGUGUGUGUGUGUGUGUGUGUGUGUGUGUGUGUGUGUGUGUGUGUGUGUGUGUGCGUGCGUGCGACAAAAAUGUUUUACUUUGUACACUGUUAAC